AACGAACGCUGGCGGCGUGCCUAACACAUGCAAGUCGAACGAGAAAGGGGCUUCGGCUCCGAGUAAAGUGGCGCACGGGUGAGUAACACGUGGGUAACCUGCCUCUAAGAUUGGGAUAACUCGUCGAAAGAUGAGCUAAUACCGAAUAAGACCACAGUUCCCGCGGGAACAGGGGUCAAAGGUAGCCUCUGCUUGCAAGCUAUCACUUAGAGAUGGGCCUGCGCACCAUUAGCUAGUUGGUAGGGUAACGGCCUACCAAGGCAAAGAUGGUUAGCUGGUCUGAGAGGAUGAUAACCCAAAGUGGAACUGAAACCCGGCCCAGCCUCCUACGGGGGGCAGCAGUGGGGAAUAUUGCGAAAGGGGCGAAAGCUUGACGCAGCAACGCCGGGGGGGUGAUGAAGGCCUUGGGGUCGUAAAGCCCUGUCGGGGGGAACGAAUGCUCCGGGGGUUAAAAGCCUCGGGAGGGGAGGGUACCUUCAAAGGAAGCACCGGCUAACUCUGU
RNAcentral lists this ribosomal RNA (502 nucleotides) under uncultured bacterium. RNAcentral's name for it is "partial 16S ribosomal RNA". It matches the Rfam family "Bacterial small subunit ribosomal RNA", at positions 29 to 506 of the family's 1533-position model. The record is from RNAcentral.